Molecule: long non-coding RNA, 712 nt
Organism: Topomyia yanbarensis
Lineage: Eukaryota; Metazoa; Arthropoda; Insecta; Diptera; Culicidae
Exons: 3
Source: RefSeq, a predicted model, not a curated record
UUCAUAUCAAUUCAUUUGGCAACCGUGAAAAAUUGAUAGCGAAGUGCAUCAAAAUCCAACUUUCAAAGCAAUAAGCAAUAUCACAAACACCACUCAUGUAAGAUUCAUCUUAUGAAUACCAAAGUGCCAUCUUAGCCCUACCUGUAUAUACCACGUUAGGGGCAGAGCACAUAGUUCAAUGAUGUUGGUAGAUAAAAAACCAAAAAAAAUCAGAAACUCAACAGAAGGAUGUCGUAUGGUUCGAUUCAAUGCCAAGUGAAGGGGCGGUAUAUUUCUGCAGCUUCUAUGUAGCAUGAAAAAGUACCAGGCUGUUUACACCCAAACUAGAGCGAAUAUAAUGCCUUUGACGACUAAAUUACUUGCUCAAUAGGCCAUAUCACCCGUGAAUAGAAAAAUGCUUCCGGUUAACGAUUUUAGUUGGCUCCUACUAUGACGUUGGACCGAUUUUGUGAGACGUCGAACUGGAAUCAAUCCACCCAAGAAACGUUACGAAAUAAAGAAAACAGAAUUAGCUGAGGAGAAACGUCUGAUGGAAUGCCUAAUCGUCAAUAUGCUGAGGAUUGAUAAUACCACAGACUAACAGAUUUACAUUUUGUCACAUUAGAGGUUUCGGAAAAUGACUGGAUAAUAGUAUUAACUUAUGAAGAUUGGAAGCAUCUUCUAGAAAACAUCGCACUCAACCGCACUGUACUCAGCAUGCGUAUCCAAAUAG